Molecule: long non-coding RNA, 1454 nt
Filed under: Felis catus (domestic cat)
Lineage: Eukaryota; Metazoa; Chordata; Mammalia; Carnivora; Felidae
Description: lncRNA (ENSFCAG00000052335.1)
Source: RNAcentral
GCUGGGGGAAGCCAUCAGAAGGCAGUUGGAUGUGACUUGAAGCACAAUGGGAAGCCCAUAGGGGAGCUUUAAGGCGGGGGUGGGGGGGGGGGGGUCACAGCAGAAUCUGAAUUACAUAUUUUAUUUUUUUUAAUUUUUUUUCAACGUUUUUUUAUUUAUUUUUGGGACAGAGAGAGACAGAGCAUGAACGGGGGAGGGGCAGAGAGAGAGGGAGACACAGAAUCGGAAACAGGCUCCAGGCUCCGAGCCAUCAGCCCAGAGCCCGACGCGGGGCUCCAACUCACGGACCGCGAGAUCGCGAGAUCGCGAGAUCGCGAGAUCGUGACCUGGCCACGGACCGCGAGAUCAUGACCUGGCUAAAGUCGGACGCUUAACCGACUGUGCCACCCAGGCGCCCCAUGAAUUACAUAUUUUAAAAGGCUCCCGGCUGCAGCUGCUCUUUUCAUCCGUGCGGAGAAUAAUCGAGAAUAAUCUGUCCGGCGAAGGCCAAGAGAGGAAGAGGGGAGAGAAGUUGGAGGCUGUCACCGUGAGGAAUGACAGGCGCUCUGGCCGGGAUAGGACAGCGGAUACAGAGGAUGGAUUUGGUGCAUGUUGCAGAGUUCAAGUCUAUGGGAUUCGCCCACGGCCUGAAGGGGCCACCGGCCGGUUCAUUUGUUCAGCAAAGACGUGGGGCCUGCUCUGCGCCAGGUCCCUGGCAGGCCGGGGGAAGAGCAGUGAGAUGUGGCCCCCGCCCUCAGACGUGGCAUAACGCAGGUGACAGACAUGUCAGGUAUGCGAUCGAUGACAGACCGGGGUGCGGGCAGGCCGGGAAGUUUGGAGGGGGGCACGGGGCUCCUCAGGUGAGGUAGCAGUGGGGGAAGCUUCCUUGAGAAAGAAGGAUCUGAAGGAUGAGGCGACUUGAACCGGGGCCAAGGGCAGAAAAGGGAAGAGUGUUUCAGGCAGAGAGAACGGCAUGUGUGCGGGUGUUUGAAGGGAGGCUCUGUGGCCAGAGUGGAGGGGACGGGGCGGGCGAGCGGAUGUGGAGGAGGCUGGGGCCAUCCCACGCGGUUGCGGGGCUUGAACAGAGGAGCGCCCAGGACCCCGGUCGCUGAGUGGGCCCGGCUGGAUGUGGCUGUGGAGACACAGAGAAGGAAGCGUGGGGCUCCAGGUGACCGACCGCCUGGACCAAGCUUUCAUUUUGAUUCUAGAAAAACAAGGUGCUGUGGUAUUUCUGGUGCCUGGAGCUUCUGGAGGAAAAGUCACACCCACCCCAUGCACAUGAAUGCAUAAAAAACCUCUGGAAGGCUCCACAGCAAAACCUCAGUGGUCUUUAUCUCUUGGUGCUGAGGGCGUGAGUCGUUGUUUUGCUCUUCCUUUCGGUGUUUUCGUGUUUUUGCAUUCUGUCUUAAACAUGGACUACUUGUGAAAUGACACGUCCUAAUAAAUUAAAAAGAAAAAAGUCUUGCCCUGAAGAC